UGGGGAAUUUUGGACAAUGGGCGCAAGCCUGAUCCAGCAAUGCCGCGUGCAGGAUGAAGGCCUUCGGGUUGUAAACUGCUUUUGUCAGGGAAGAAACGAGUUUCUCUAAUACAGAGACUUAAUGACGGUACCUGAAGAAUAAGCACCGGCUAACUACGUGCCAGCAGCCGCGGUAAUACGUAGGGUGCGAGCGUUAAUCGGAAUUACUGGGCGUAAAGCAUGCGCAGGCGGUUAUAUAAGACAGAUGUGAAAUCCCCGGGCUCAACCUGGGACCUGCAUUUGUGACUGUAUAGCUAGAGUACGGUAGAGGGGGAUAGAAUUCCGCGUGUAGCAGUGAAAUGCGUAGAUAUGCGGAGGAACACCGAUGGCGAAGGCAAUCCCCUGGACCUGUACUGACGCUCAUGCACGAAAGCGUGGGGAGCAAACA
This 427-nucleotide ribosomal RNA is filed under the name uncultured bacterium. RNAcentral's name for it is "bacterial SSU rRNA". It matches the Rfam family "Bacterial small subunit ribosomal RNA", at positions 355 to 774 of the family's 1533-position model. The record is from RNAcentral.